RNAcentral lists this ribosomal RNA (467 nucleotides) under uncultured bacterium. Its description in RNAcentral is "partial 16S ribosomal RNA". It matches the Rfam family "Bacterial small subunit ribosomal RNA", at positions 28 to 507 of the family's 1533-position model. The record is from RNAcentral.
GAUGAACGCUGGCGGCGUGCUUAACACAUGCAAGUCGAACGGUGAAGCAGAGCUUGCUCUGUGGAUCAGUGGCGAACGGGUGAGUAACACGUGAGCAACCUGCCCCUGACUCUGGGAUAAGCGCUGGAAACGGCGUCUAAUACUGGAUAUGAGCUGCGACCGCAUGGUCAGCAGUUGGAAAGAUUUUUCGGUCUGGGAUGGGCUCACGGCCUAUCAGCUUGUUGGUGAGGUAAUGGCUCACCAAGGCGUCGACGGGUAGCCGGCCUGAGAGGGUGACCGGCCACACUGGGACUGAGACACGGCCCAGACUCCUACGGGAGGCAGCAGUGGGGAAUAUUGCACAAUGGGCGAAAGCCUGAUGCAGCAACGCCGCGUGAGGGAUGACGGCCUUCGGGUUGUAAACCUCUUUUAGCAGGGAAGAAGCGAAAGUGACGGUACCUGCAGUAAAAGCGCCGGCUAACUACGUG